UUUGAGUGCCCGGCUCAGUCUUGCGGCAACGUUCGACGAGUGAAUACACGCGCGGUGGUCUCCCCAGUCACGUGAACGAUUCGGUCCGAAAGAAGAAAGUGGCGGUGAAAGAGAACGGAAGACGAUCAUAAUAAACAGAACGAUCGCGUGGUCGAUCAGCUGGUGGUUCGGGGUUGGAAGAGUGUUCUACGUGCGAGUGAUUUCUACGGGGGAGGGCGGUAUUAAUUAGAAGAGUCUGGGCAGAACAUGAACAGCAGUGGUGGGUGGACGUGAGAGGUGCAUCAAAGCACUGGGGAUUCCGAAUUGAGGAAAGUGCGCGGGCGAUUAAGUGCAAAAACGGCAUUAAAAGUAUAAAAUAAAUCGAAUUAAGUAUGUUAAGCGGCUGAUAAACGGGACGGCCCUCUGGGACUUGUUUGUUUGCGGAGAGAAGAGAUGUUUUUGCUCCGUUAAUGGUCGUUCGGAGGAGGAAGAAAUUGCCGCAUUAUCUUAAGACCCUUCGGGCUGUGUGCUGUUUGUGUGGAAGCGAGCCUAGCUGCCCGACGAGUGGAUCCAGUCAUAGAUCGAGUCAAACGGUUGAGCUUUUUCUUAUAUUAAAUAGAUAAAACGGGACAAGAACAAGCGAAUUAAACAAAUAUAUGCGGACAGUACAGCGGAUUGACUGCUCUUUCGGGCGGGGGAGAGCCGCAGCCGUCGUCGUCAUCGAGUAGUGAGUAGUGACUCGGGAGACAUAAGUGAAUAGUGAAGUGACCUCAUAAGAACUGUGCCUCGUAAAACGAAGAUUACAAUACAGCACCGUCGUCGUCGUUCUGUGGAAUCCAACAACUCAUCCCGGUAAUGAAGAAACUGUGCGCCCACGAGGAAUACUUUCAGAAUCAGUGUUGGCCGUAUCUCCCAUCUAUGGUGUUGGUGUGCUCGAUCCAGCUUCAUUCUGUGGAAACCCAGGCGAAGAAAGAAACUAAGAAGAAUUAGUUCUGCACCUGGGAAGGAAGAUUAUCUCCGACCAUUUAACGACCUUCAACGGUGGUGGGAUCGUUCGUUCCGUAGUGCUACCAACCGGCCAGUCGAUCGUCGUAAAAGUGUUCCGCGAAGGGCAGCAGCCAGCCAGCAGCGCAUCAAUUGGUCGUCGGUGCGGUGUAAUCUCUCGUGCCAAAGUGGAUAUUUUGAUUGUUAUCGACAAAGUGAGGGCGCUUCGAACUAAGUUGUUGAGGUUGGUGCUGCUGUUGCUGUUGCGGCGAUUGCUGAAACGAUCAUCAUUUAUCAUCAGGUUAUGCAAGCCGAAGGAUGAUCAUACUUUUUCCCAGCCACCCAACAGCGUGGUAGUGCAGUCGCCCAUAACUCGAGGGCUGCUCUAGAUAAGGUGCAUCGCCCGUCGUAGCUUACCCAAACAACGUCGAAAACAGUCGCCACCAUUUAGAGUGGGGUAGCGGCUUCCAGUGUACCGCAGCAGGUCCAUAAACGCCUAUCCGACAACGUGCAACUAAGUGCCCGCGGCGCGAGUACUCACCGAAGAAAAACAAAACCAGAGCAAAGUGAAGUGAGUGCGCGGUUGUAAAACAAAACUAUGUUUGUUCGGUGUCCAGCUGAACAUCGUCUGGUGGGGUGCGUAAGUGAAAAUAAAGCAAUGAAAUAGGAGAGUAAACACCACGGGGACCAGGAAACUCUGUGUGCAGAGCUGAGCCUUUCAUUCAGUCGUUUGAAUCUUGGUUUCGAUAAAGGGGGUUGGUUGGUGGUGGUGAUUAAUGGAAUGCCGACCGACUGACCGCGGGCAAGUUCUCACACUAACCACUGCGUCUAGCUUAAUAACAGUGCGAUGAGGACGACUCCACGACGGGCGGCUGGCGCGGUAUCAAGAUGAAGCAGUUCACGGUGGACCCGCGUUUCGACUUUCGAGGAUAGUGAGUGACAAAGUCUCCGGAUCUCGGUUGUUUGGAAAGGAAGAAAGCUAAACGCGAAGCGGUUCAAUACCUGCC
Aedes albopictus (Asian tiger mosquito) is the source of this 1970-nucleotide long non-coding RNA. RefSeq lists it as uncharacterized. The transcript has 4 exons. The record is from RefSeq and is a predicted model, not a curated record. NCBI's taxonomy places the organism in Eukaryota, Metazoa, Arthropoda, Insecta, Diptera, Culicidae.